This is a long non-coding RNA of Linepithema humile (Argentine ant), 2201 nucleotides long. RefSeq lists it as uncharacterized. The record is from RefSeq and is a predicted model, not a curated record. NCBI's taxonomy places the organism in Eukaryota, Metazoa, Arthropoda, Insecta, Hymenoptera, Formicidae.
AGUGUUUUGCAGUUGAACGAUUAAAAUUGGAGAAUUAUUGAGAGUUUGCAACCCCCGUAAUCGUAGACUUCAGAAUUUUUAACGACACUCAGACACGUGACGCAAUUUGAUUAUAUCGCUUUUUGCUCUUCAUCUCAUAAGCAACUGUUGCAAACAAUCCAUAAUCAUAUGCAAGGAUGGUUUUUGAAAAUAAUUUCGGCAAAGAUUAUUCCAGCAUAUCUAAACACGAACUACUAUUGCAUGCUUGUAACAACAAAAGACAUCUUGACGAAAAUUUGCGAAACCUAACUGAAUAUUUUAUUUAUGUGCAUAUCGACAGUACUCAGAAGACCAUGAAUCAUUCAUUUGUGAAUACAAGUAGCAUUGAAAAAUUCAAAGAUUUAUGUAACGAAGAUAUUAUGGGCAAAAAUUUUCCCAUCACUCAUGUCAUAAAUAAAUUUUAUUUUGUUUUUGAGCUGUACCAUGCGAUUGUAAAUAGUUCGAACGCUAAUUCAAAUAUCAGAAAGUACUGUUUGCCGAUUUUUAUUAUUCUCGGUCUUUUAGGAAACUGUUUGUCUGCUAUUGUACUUUUCCGUAAAAAGAUGCGUUCUUUCUCGUCCAACAUCUACUUGGGCGUGCUAGCAAUGAGCGACAUCGUCUAUUUGAUGUUAUCACUCAUUAAUUGGCUCCAAAUAAUGGAUAUAAAACUAAUAACAAAUUAUUUGUAUUACUUAAUUUUCUUCAAAGACUUUCUGUUCUUCUUUUCCGAGUUUUUGAGUGUGUGGCUUAUAGUAGCCUUUACCAUCGAGAGAUUUAUAGUGACAAAGUAUCCGCUUCUACGUCGAUCCUGGUGCACUGUCAAACGAGCAAAAAUCGUAGCAAUCACGCUGAUGGGACUAGCUAUUUUACGCAGCAUUCUACAUAUUUUUUAUAUGUAUAGGACCAUGCGCUAUGAAAUGUUUAAAAGAAACGGCAAUAUCUAUGAUGUGUACAAAUAUAUAAAAUUUGACAAACAGUAUGGAUUUAGAAACACAAGGCACAUUAUAGAUUCUAUUAUAAUAUUUAUCUUACCUGCUGUCGUGUGAUAGUAAUCUGCAAUACUCUGAUAGGAUACCACAUUUACCAGCAAAAUCGUGUUCGCAAAACCUUGAUUACAGCUUCCGAUUCUACUAAUGAGAGAAUUCAGAUUUCUAAUGAUAAAAUGCUUCUGCAUAGGAUCACAAAAAUGCUUAUUCUCGUUUCGACCAUAUUUCUAAUUUUGAAAUUACCUAUAUAUUAUACUCUCCACCAUUCUAGUUACAUGGCUAAAUAUGGCAAUAUGUCUGUUGUGAUAAUAAUAUUCAAUUUAUUAGACAAUGCACAUUUCAGUAUAAAUUUUGUCCUUUACUGCGCAACUGGACAAACUUUUCGCAGAGAACUAAUACGCAUGUUUACGAAACGUACAAAUGUAAGAAAGAACAGAAAUAUUAUAGGGAUGUACAAUUAGAAGUAACAAUAUGAUUGAUGCUCAAUUAUGCAGUCAUAAUGAGCUUGCAGAUUUACGUCUAAUCGCACUUCAAACAAAACAGUGUAUUUGUUAACAACGAACAACUGAAAGUUUCUCAAGAGAAGCUAACACUCCUGACAUACACGAGAGAUUAUAAUAUACAUUUAACUUUAUAACAAUAUAAUUAAUUGCAAAUAGCUAAAUAAAAUAGCUAAACUUAUUAUUGUAUUAAAAGUAUAUUGUAUUAAAAGUAAAUUAAAAAUAACGAUCAAAAAUUCUAUGAUGCACAUAUAUGUAAGUAGUAUGUACAAUAUUUAAGCGCACCAUAAAGAAGUCAAAAAUUUUAUGUAUAUUAUUUCUAUACUCAAAGUAAACUUAUAUAACUUAGGAGAAGUGUGCAAUUAACUAUUUGAAAUAGGUGAAUUGUCACAUGGUAGAUUGUAAUUCAAUGUCAAUUUGUUAUCAUCAAUGUAAUGGACACAUCUUUCAUUACAAGAAUAUUUUCCAAAGAAGAAAAAGAACGUUCUAAAAAUGUGUUAUGUUUUAUUUAUAUGUUAUUAUAUCACAAAUUCGUAGCAGCCAGUAUAUUAAUAUAUAUGUGGGAGGGUCUCAACUGCUUACAUUCCCAUUUGCCAACAGCUUCGUUUGCCUACAACAUUUUGCCGACAGCUUCAAUUGCCGACAUUCCCGAUUGCCUACAGAGCGAUUGCCUACAAGCAUUAUUGCGCACAUUUAA